GGGCCCCAGCUUACCAUGCAGUCGAACGGACUCUUCGGAUUAGUGGCGGACGGGUGAGUAACGCGUGAGAAUUUGGCUUCUGGUCGGGGACAACAGUUGGAAACGACUGCUAAUACCGGAUGUGCCCAAAGGUGAAAAAUUUAUUGCCUGAAAAUAAGCUCUCGUCUGAUUAUCUAUUUGGUGGGGUAAGAGCCUACCAAGGCGACAAUCACUAUCUGGUCUGAGAGGAUGAUCACCCCCACUGGGACUGAGACACGGCCCACACUCCUACGGGAGGCGGCAGUGGGGAAUUUUCCGCAAUGGGCGAAAGCCUGACGGAGCAAUACCCCGUGAGGGAGGAAGGCUCUUGGGUCUUAAACCUCUUUUCUCAAGGAAAAAAAAAGUGACGGUACUUAAGGAAUAACCAUCGGCUAACUCCGUGCCACCACCCGCGGUAAUACGGAGGAUGCAAGCGUUAUCCGGAAUGAUUGGGCGUAAAGGGUCCGCAGGUGGAACUGAAAGUCUGCUGUUAAAAAGACUGGGUCAACCCAGAUAAAAAGCAGUGGUAAACUACAGAACUAGAGUGCGGUUCGGGGCAAAAAGAAAUUCCUGGUGUAGAGGUGAAAUGCGUAGAAUAUCAGGAAAAACACCGGUGGCGAAAGCGUUCUGCUAGGCCGCAACUGACACUGAGGGACGAAAAGCUAGGGGAGCGAAUGGGAUUAGAUACCCCAGUAGUCCUAGCCGUAAACGAUGGAUACUAGGCGUGGCUUGUAUCGACCCGAGCCGUGCCGGAGCUAACGCGUUAAGUAUCCCGCCUGGGGAGUACGCACGCAAGUGUGAAACUCAAAGGAAUUGACGGGGGCCCGCACAAGCGGUGGAGUAUGUGGUUUAAUUCGAUGCAACGCGAAGAACCUUACCAAGACUUGACAUCCUGCGAAUCCUGGUGAAAGGUGGGAGUGCCUUCGGGAGCGCAGAGACAGGUGGUGCAUGGCUGUCGUCAGCUCGUGUCGUGAGAUGUUGGGUUAAGUCCCGCAACGAGCGCAACCCUCGUUUUUAGUUGCCAGCAUUAAGAUGGGCACUCUAGAGAGACUGCCGGUGACAAACCGGAGGAAGGUGAGGAUGACGUCAAGUCAGCAUGCCCCUUACGUCUUGGGCUACACACGUACUACAAUGCUACGGACAAAGGGCAGCUACACAGCGAUGUGAUGCAAAUUUCAGAAACCGUAGCUCAGUUCAGAUCGAAGGCUGCAACUCGCCUUCGUGAAGGAGGAAUCGCUAGUAAUUGCAGGUCAGCAUACUGCAGUGAAUUCGUUCCCGGGCCUUGUACACACCGCCCGUCACACCAUGGAAGUUGGUCACGCCCGAAGUCAUUACCCUCAACCGAAAGGAGCAGGAUGCCCUACCGGAAGAAUCUUGC
This 1396-nucleotide ribosomal RNA is filed under the name Anabaena sp. MBG-AL212. Its description in RNAcentral is "bacterial SSU rRNA". It matches the Rfam family "Bacterial small subunit ribosomal RNA". Lineage: Bacteria; Bacillati; Cyanobacteriota; Cyanophyceae; Nostocales; Nostocaceae. The record is from RNAcentral.